AUUCAAUGUGCAUAGAAAGUCAUCACAGCACUUGAAGUGUUCCUGCGCCGUCCGCUUGCGCUGCCCCGGGCUCACCGGUGUUCACAGACCGAAGUUCAAAGUUCUCAACACGCCAGUGGGCGGGGAUAGGAGGGACAACACAACAAUACUCAACUCUAAUUGGACUUGUGUCGCUGUCACUCAAACUGUAGGCCCAGCAUUUAGCUGUCUACUUUAGGUCGUCUAGUCGGACUUGAUUGAGAACUUGCUAUCAAGGCUCCUUGAAAGGCUCAGAAAAUCGUAACAUUCCAGGACUAUGUGGCUAGUGGGAGGAAAAGGACAGCUGUAUGCAAAACAUGCAAAACGUAAAUAACUGGUGUGACAGCCGCAACGUCUAACUUUUUAGAGUACCGGAAAUCCCCAACGGCAGGACCCUGGAUGAGUGGGCGACUAAAUGGGCGACAGUCACGGUUGUCCUGGUGGGGGGGUUCAUCCAUACUGCCUCAGGACGGAGUUGAACUGAGACCUUCCGGAGCAGCAGACUAACAUUUGUUUGGCAGAAGGAGCUGGGUGAUGAGACGCGCACCGAAACACAGAAAGACUGCCACGGCGCUGCGCGUGGAGCCAACAUGCUUUUCUGAAACACACUCCGUUAAGGAGCAUCCACAACAAACAGCUUGCUGCAAAAGCGGAUGUUGGCAAACUGAUUCAAGGCAAACACCAAUGGAACUACUGGUCUGCCUUCCACAUAAAACCCAAUGGAACUACUGGUCUGCCUUCCACAUUAAACCCAAUGGAACUACUGGUCUGCCUUCCACAUUAAACCCAAUGGAACUACUGGUCUGCCUUCCACAUAAAACCCAAUGGAACUACUGGUCUGCCUUCCACAUAAAACCCAAUGGAACUACUGGUCUGCCUUCCACAUUAAACCCAAUGGAACUACUGGUCUGCCUUCCACAUAAAACCCAAUGGAACUACACUGGCUCUGUCUUCCACAUAAAACCCAAUGGAACUACAUUGGCUCUGUCUUCCACAUUAAACCCAAUGCAACUACACUG
This is a long non-coding RNA of Esox lucius (northern pike), 1037 nucleotides long. NCBI's taxonomy places the organism in Eukaryota, Metazoa, Chordata, Actinopteri, Esociformes, Esocidae. The record is from Ensembl.